This 450-nucleotide ribosomal RNA is filed under the name uncultured soil bacterium. Its description in RNAcentral is "bacterial SSU rRNA". It matches the Rfam family "Bacterial small subunit ribosomal RNA", at positions 26 to 470 of the family's 1533-position model. The record is from RNAcentral.
AGGACGAACGCUGGCGGCGUGCUUAACACAUGCAAGUGGAGCGACGAACCGGGGCUUGCCCCGGGGCAGAGCCGCGAACGGGUGAGUAACACGUGGGUAACCCACCCCGAUGACCGGGACAACCCGAGGAAACUCGGGCUAAUACCGGAUGUGUUCCCUGGUCACCAGACCUUGGAGCAAAGAUAGCUUCGGCCUUCGCAUCGGGACGGGCCCGCGGCCCAUUAGCUUGUUGGUGGGUAACGGCCUACCAAGGCAACGAUGGGUAGCUGGUCUGAGAGGACGAUCAGCCACACUGGGACUGAGACACGGCCCAGACUCCUACGGGAGGCAGCAGUGGGGAAUCUUGCACAAUGCGCGAAAGCGUGAUGCAGCAACGCCGCGUGGGAAGAAGGCCUUCGGUUCGUAAACCCUUCGAGUUGGACGAAGCUUCGUACGGUUAAUAGCCGGCGU